Long non-coding RNA from Heterocephalus glaber (naked mole-rat), 457 nucleotides. RefSeq lists it as uncharacterized. Lineage: Eukaryota; Metazoa; Chordata; Mammalia; Rodentia; Bathyergidae. The record is from RefSeq and is a predicted model, not a curated record.
GUGAAGCCAGCAAAGGGAAGUGACCCACUUCGCCUGCUCUCUGGAAGAACCGGGAUCCUCUGGCGUCAGUACAGAAGACUUUGUCCCAUCAAGCUCUGUGGAAAGCCAGGGGAAGAUGUGGCGAGAGGAGAAAAAUAAUAAGAAGAGAACAGCCACAUCCAUCAAUGGCACUGAUCCCUGAGCCACACCAGUGGCUAUGUCACACCCACCCAACUUUCGGACAAUGAGGAAGCCAGGGAACAGAGUGGGGCCAGUUGUCUGUGUGGGCAGCACGGUGUCCUGCAGCCUUCCUGGUGUGGUUUUCAGGCUGGAUGCACACACCGAGGAAUUAAAUCUGGGGAGAGAACACGAAGGGUGAGCUGCUGGAAAUGUUCAUGCUGUUGCAUUCGGAUAUGCGGACAGGCUGACACAGUGCAUGUUAAACCAGUUCAGAAUGAGGCAAUAUUAAAAAUAUUAA